GACGUAGGUGGCGAACGUUAUCCGGAAUCAUUGGGCGUAAAGGGUGCGUAGAUGGCCUGAUAAGUUAGCAGUGGGAAAUCGAGGCUCAACCUCGUGGAAGCUGGUAAUACUGUCAGGCUCGAGUGCAGGAGAGGUUAACGGAACUCCAUGUGGAGCGGUAAAAUGUGUAGAUAUAUGGAAGAACAUCAAUAACGGCGAAGGCAGUUAACUAUUCUGUUACUGACGUUGAGGCACGAAAGCGUGGGGAGCAAAACGG
This 256-nucleotide ribosomal RNA is filed under the name uncultured bacterium. RNAcentral describes it as "partial 16S ribosomal RNA". It matches the Rfam family "Bacterial small subunit ribosomal RNA", at positions 524 to 776 of the family's 1533-position model. The record is from RNAcentral.